This 1064-nucleotide long non-coding RNA is filed under the name Mytilus galloprovincialis (Mediterranean mussel). Lineage: Eukaryota; Metazoa; Mollusca; Bivalvia; Mytilida; Mytilidae. The record is from RNAcentral.
UCUGUUUCUUUUUCUGUAUUAUUAUUAUUCUUCCACCUAUUUUGUCCGGCAGUUUUCUCGGAGCCAAUGGAACCAAUCUUAAUGAAAGUUAACUAUAAUGAGGAACAUAAAAUUUCGGGUUGCAGUAGGUCUUAAGAACAUAAAAAAUGGCUGCCGUUGCCAUGGAAACAGAACAAAUGUGAAAAAAUCUAGUUUUUGGUUUUGGUGAAUUAUUUGGACAUUAUUAAACUCAGAAUCAUUAUAUUUUAAUACAAUGUAGGUGCCCGGUAUAUACUGGUUUUGGAUGAUUUUGGCAAUCAUUGGAACAACUAUGUUGCUAUGGAAACUACACCAAAAAUUUCAAAAAUAUCAAAAUGCUCCAAAUUUUUUGAAACUCCAUAGUAACGAUGAGCAACAUUGAUAGAUGUGGAAUUUGGCGUUGGAAUUUCGAAAAUUUCUGCCGUUACCAUGGAAACAAUGCAAAACUGGUCAAAAUGAUCCAAAAACCUUAAAGUGGCAUUUACUUUCUUAAAAUGGUAGGUCAAAUUGAUCGAAACUUUGAUGGUAUGGUCCCUCCCAUGUACCAAUGUGGUAUAUGCCAUUAUAUUUUGGGAAUGGUCUCUGUUGCCAUAGGAACCAUCACAAAUGUCCAAAAUUUCAAAAAUUUCAAAAUGCUCCAAAAUUGAUGAAACUUAAUAGGAUUGUUGACUGUCAAGUCUGCAUGAGACUUUUGAAGUUGGAAUUUCCAAAAUGGCUACCGUUGCCAUGGAAACUGGAAAAAUGUCAAAUAUUUUCGAAAUGCUCCAAACUUAAUGAAACUUAAUAUUAUUGUAAACUGGCAUGUAUAGAUGAGACUUUUGACUUUGAAACUUUCAAAAUGGCUGCCGUUGCCAUGGAAACAGCAAAAGUGUCAUGUUUUUAAAAAUGAUCUAAAUGUACUGAAAAUUUACAGAAAAAUGUAUAGCCAUGAAAAUAUGUGCAUUCAUUGUUAAAAGUUUUUGAAAUGGCUGCCGCUUAGUGGCAAUGGGGGGAAGGGUGACAUCCGCUAUUGCUUGCAAUAGCAAUUCUAGUUUCUUUUGAUUUUC